UCCGGAUUUAUUGGGCGUAAAGCGAGCGCAGGCGGUUAGAUAAGUNUGAAGUUAAAGGCUGUGGCUUANCCAUAGUACGCUUUGGAAACUGUUUAACUUGAGUGCAGAAGAGGAGAGUGGAAUUCCAUGUGUAGCGGUGAAAUGCGUAGAUAUAUGGAGGAACNCCGGUGGCGAAAGCGGCUCUCUGGUCUGUAACUGACGCUGAGGCUCGAAAGCGUGGGGAGCGAACAGGAUUAGAUACCCUGGUAGUNCACGCCGUAAACGAUGAGUGCUAGGUGUUAGGCCCUUUCCGGGGCUUAGUGCCGCAGCUAACGCAUUAAGCACUCCGCCUGGGGAGUACGACCGCAAGGUUGAAACUCAAAGGAAUUGACGGGGGCCCGCACAAGCGGUGGAGCAUGUGGUUUAAUUCGAAGCAACGCGAAGAACCUUACCAGGUCUUGACAUCCCGAUGCCCGCUCUAGAGAUAGAGUUUUACUUCGGUACAUCGGUGACGGGUGGUGCAUGGUUGUCGUCAGCUCGUGUCGUGAGAUGUUGGGUUAAGUCCCGCAACGAGCGCAACCCUUAUUGUUAGUUGCCAUCAUUCAGUUGGGCACUCUAGCGAGACUGCCGGUAAUAAACCGGAGGAAGGUGGGGAUGACGUCAAAUCAUCAUGCCCCUUAUGACCUGGGCUACACACGUGCUACAAUGGCUGGUACAACGAGUCGCAAGUCGGUGACGGCAAGCUAAUCUCUUAAAGCCAGUCUCAGUUCGGAUUGUAGGCUGCAACUCGCCUACAUGAAGUCGGAAUCGCUAGUAAUCGCGGAUCAGCACGCCGCGGCGAAUACGUUCCCGGGCCUUGUACACACCGCCCGUCACACCACGAGAGUUUGUAACACCCGAAGUCGGUGAGGUANCCUUUUAGGA
RNAcentral lists this ribosomal RNA (903 nucleotides) under uncultured bacterium. RNAcentral describes it as "bacterial SSU rRNA". It matches the Rfam family "Bacterial small subunit ribosomal RNA", at positions 544 to 1447 of the family's 1533-position model. The record is from RNAcentral.